GACGAACGCUGGCGGCGUGCUUAACACAUGCAAGUCGAACGGAGCGAAUGAAAGCUUGCUUUUAUAAGCUUAGUGGCAAACGGGUGAGUAACACGUAGGCAACCUGCCGACAGGAUGGGGACAACAUUCCGAAAGGAAUGCUAAUACCGAAUGAAGUCGAGGGAGGGCAUCCUCCUCCGAUGAAAGAUGGCCUCUAUAUAUAAGCUAUCACCUGUCGAUGGGCCUGCGUCUGAUUAGCUGGUAGGUGAGGUAACGGCUCACCUAGGCGACGAUCAGUAGCCGGUCUGAGAGGAUGAACGGCCACAUUGGGACUGAGACACGGCCCAGACUCCUACGGGAGGCAGCAGUGGGGAAUCUUCCGCAAUGGGCGCAAGCCUGACGGAGCAACGCCGCGUGAGUGAAGAAGGUCUUCGGAUCGUAAAGCUCUGUUGAUGGGGACGAACGUGCCUAAUGCGAAUAGUAUUAG
RNAcentral lists this ribosomal RNA (466 nucleotides) under Centipeda noxia. RNAcentral describes it as "bacterial SSU rRNA". It matches the Rfam family "Bacterial small subunit ribosomal RNA", at positions 28 to 472 of the family's 1533-position model. The record is from RNAcentral. Lineage: Bacteria; Bacillati; Bacillota; Negativicutes; Selenomonadales; Selenomonadaceae.